CCAAUUCCGGUACUAAAAAGAGGUUUAGUGAUAAGGGAACGCCGUGCAAAUCGGCGACAGUACCCGCUGCUGUAAUUCUCAAAGAAUCCGUACAUAAUGCCACUGCAUCGAACACCGGUGUGGGAAGGCGAUACGAGGGAGAGAUAAGUCAGAAGACCUGCCGGAGGAGUUAAA
This 174-nucleotide non-coding RNA is filed under the name Bacteroides neonati. The record is from RNAcentral. Lineage: Bacteria; Pseudomonadati; Bacteroidota; Bacteroidia; Bacteroidales; Bacteroidaceae.